GGGGAGUACGACCGCAAGGUUGAAACUCAAAGGAAUUGACGGGGGCCCGCACAAGCGGUGGAGCAUGUGGUUUAAUUCGAAGCAACGCGAAGAACCUUACCAGGUCUUGACAUCCCGAUGCUAUUCUUAGAGAUAGGAAGUUACUUCGGUACAUCGGAGACAGGUGGUGCAUGGUUGUCGUCAGCUCGGGUCGUGAGAUGUUGGGUUAAGUCCCGCAACGAGCGCAACCCUUAUUGUUAGUUGCCAUCAUUAAGUUGGGCACUCUAGCGAGACUGCCGGUAAUAAACCGGAGGAAGGUGGGGAUGACGUCAAAUCAUCAUGCCCCUUAUGACCUGGGCUACACACGUGCUACAAUGGUCGGUACAAUGAGUUGCGAGCCGGUGACGGCAAGCUAAUCUCUGAAAGCCGAUCUCAGUUCGGAUUGGAGGCUGCAACUCGCCUCCAUGAAGUCGGAAUCGCUANCAAUCGCGGAUCAGCACGCCGCGGUGAAUACGUUCCCGGGCCUUGUACACACCGCCCGUCACACCACGAGAGUUUGUAACACCCGAAGUCGGUGAGGUAACCUUUUAGGGGCCAGCCGCCUAAGGUNGGA
This 592-nucleotide ribosomal RNA is filed under the name uncultured bacterium. Its description in RNAcentral is "bacterial SSU rRNA". It matches the Rfam family "Bacterial small subunit ribosomal RNA", at positions 875 to 1467 of the family's 1533-position model. The record is from RNAcentral.